UGGAGCAGAGAUGGAGAACAUUAUUCAUUUUGUGCUACGUACCCUGUAUAUGGUGCUCGUUUCUGCAAGACACAAGAAGAAGAGCGAUAGAACUGCAACUUGCAACCGUACCAGGAAGCCGAAUUAAGAUGAAAUAAUUGAAAGAUUUCUAUUCGAAGACGAUCGAAAGACUGAAGGAGAAAAAAAAAAAUACUACACCGGCAAGAGAGAAAAGAUUAGAAGAGUGAUCUCUGCAGUAUAUUCUACUUUAAGGACUAGUAUUUACUCUAUCUCUAUAUUCAUUUCCAUCUAGUGCUUGGGCAAUGUUCUCCGUCCCCACAUUUUUUCUUAUUGUCCAGGGGGAGGCCGACAGGUACCGCCCCCCUCCCUUGUUGUGCUUUCCUUCCUACCAUUGUAUCUUUUUAGUUUCAUGGUGCUACCUACACAUGUACUAAUAGUUGUAUAAUCACACACUGUCCUGCCUGGGGAUUGGGAUGGCAUGUUCCUCCCUUCUCCCUUGUUGUUUAUCUGCAACAAUAAACUAUCAAUCAAUCAAUCAUCAAUCAAUAGGAGGUGCCGUUGUAAAGGCAAUACCUCCGACACCAUCACAUCACAUCAGUGUGACAUGACUGAGUGGACAGAGUACUGGAGCACCCGAUGGCACUUAGACAGAAGAGGGCGUGGCAUUAACAGCCCAUCUCAUGCACCCCAGGAUGUGGUGUUGGCCAUGCUGGGAGGAGCACAGUGCCAGGAGACAGUUGCUGAAGUGAGGGUCUGAGGCAGACGCUGUGCUCAGCACUCUCUGUGUCCACGCUGCCAUAACCUCAGGACUCCUUGGUGCAUCCCUUGCCUCGCCUGCCGCUUGGUCCCUGGGUAUGGCGUCGGGGGAACCUUGCUGCCUGCUGCAGCUUCCCUGAGGUUCCUGCAAGACCCUCACCCCAGGAGUGGUGGGCAGGGGAGGCUGCAAGGCUGGGCAGCAGCCUGAGUGGUGGGACCAGCAGGAACACUGCCACUGCUGUGAGGACCAGAACCACCACCACCACCAACAACAACAACAACAGUAACACCACCAUCACCUUGCUGCUGGUAUCUCCAGAAAGGAAAGGGAAAGUUUGAGUGUGACAAGAUUUGAGACUGGGGGAAAGUUCAGCAGACACAGCCUUGCACACACUGGUGAGGGAAACCAUGAGUGGCCAGCGUGUGGGGAAAGACUCCCUGGGAAGGCUGACCUCAGCAAAUACACCCACACACUCUGCUGAAAGACCUCAAGAAUGCCAUCACUGUGGCAAAAGGUUCAGUUUGAAGGGUGACCUUAAGAGACACAGCCUUACACACACUGGUGAAAGACCUCAUGAAUGUGAAGUUUGUGGAAAAAGGUUUACACAGAAGGGUAACCUCGACAAACACACCCUCAGACACACUGGUGAAAGACCUCAUGAAUGUGAAGUUUGUGGAAAAAGGUUUAUACAGAAGGGUAACCUUAACACACACACCCUCACACACACUGGUGAAAGACCUCAUGAAUGCCAUGACUGUGGCAAAAGGUUCAAUAUAAAAAGUCACCUCAAGAAACACACCCUUACCCACACUGGUGAAAGACUUCAUGAAUGUCAAGUUUGUGGAAGAAGGUUUACACAGAAGAGUGACCUGAACAAACACUCCCUUACACACACUGGUGAAAGGCCUCAUGAAUGCCAACACUGUGGCCAAAGGUUCACCGAGAAGGGUGUCCUCAAGAAACACACCCUUACACACACUGGUGAAAGGCCUCAUGAGUGUGAGGUUUGUGGUGACACAUUCAUAAUGAAGAGCCAGCUCAAGGUACACACUUAUAAACACACUGGUGAAAGGCCUCAUGAGUGUCUGGAAUGUGGGAAAAGGUUCACUUGCAAGCAAACCCUGGAGCGUCACAUCUUCAGACACUCUGGCCUGAGAGAGUUCAAGUGUGAUGUGUGUGGGAAGCACUUCAAAACAAAGAAGGACAUUGCCCAGCACAUGAAGACCCAUUUCUGAGGUGCUGUGUUGUGCUGCAGUGCUGCUGUGUGAGGGACCAUCUUGACAGGGAACCAGUCAUCAAUACCACCUGGAGAGGACUGGCACCGUGCUGUGGCUGACUGCUAAGAGAUGCACCAACAAGCCGCACCCUAGUGAACAAGUCUGCCACGAGCUAGAGUGGUGACAACUCUGUCAUCUUGCCCCGGCACAGUGCAGCAGCGGUGACUUGGGCCGCCAGAACAGACCAUCAACAGGAUUAUCAAGGAGACGCUCUGUGAAGGUUUGUCAAGUUUCCCUGCGCUCCACAAGAAACCCGGCCAAGCAGAGACUACUGGUGCAGACUGCCGGCCUGGGAGCUGUGAUAGACGGAGCGCUUGUUUGGUUUGCUGCCCCAAGGGAAUUGCAGGCAGAAUAUGUAAUCGUGCAAGGCAUGCACACCAUGAACACUCCAGUGGUGUUUGUCAAGCCCUAUAUUGUUGGCCAGUGGCCGGGGUGAGUGCAUGAUGGACAGACAAAUGGCUCCAGCUGGGAAGGAGGGGGAGGCAGGGGGAUGAGCACUGUGCUGGGACUAGGGGGAGAUAAAGGCACAGGCAGUACAACAGUGUGCCAUGUGGAACACCGAGAGAAAAAUAACUGAAGAAUACAGAAGAAGGAAGACCAGAGAGGGAUGAAGGAAGCAAUGCUAGGCAUCAGAGGUCUGAAGAAGAAGAGGAAGAAGAUGCAAGGAACUGAAGAAUACAAAAGAAGGUAGACCAGAGAGGGAGGAAGGAAUGCUAGGAUACAGAGGUCUGGAGAAGAGGAAUGAAUGAAGAGUGAGCGUAGAAUGAAUGAAGAGGAAUGAAGAAUGAAGAUGAAGGAAGAAGGAAGAGGAAGAAGAAGGUGCAGGCACUCUGUGGGUGAGUGCCCUGCUCACAGGCCAUGAAAGGGGCCGUGUGCCUGCUGGACGCCGCCUGCUAGGGAACCGCGGCCACCCUUGUCUGAGGCAGCUGCUGACCUCCUGCCUGCACCCUCGGCCAGGCCCACAGACACACCACAGCGGGUAAGUGAUGUGGCUGCUCUAUAGUCUGCACACACACACACACACACACACACACACACAGAAGGUAGUGAAAGUAAUCAAAGAAAAUGAGGCACUGGUAAGAGGCACGGUUGAGAAAAAGAAAGUGUGUCAUUGUGUUCGGUGUCAAGGACGAGAAAACCCCAAGCAAAUCUGUGAGGGAAAACAACUUGAAAGAUGUAGUGAAGAAAAUCGUGCAGAGGGUACAAGAAGAGGGAAGAGACCUGGUGAAAGAAAUAGAUGACUGUCAUAGGAUUGGAAAAUACAAUGGCGAAAGAGAUAGACCAAUUAGGGUACGAUUUAAGGCACAGAGCGAAACAGAAGAGGCCCUGGCAGGAGCUUGGAAGCUAGCGGGAGAAGAAGACACCAAAAUGAUGUGGCUGAGAAAAGAUGUGAAUGAACAGACGCAGGGAACAGAAGAGUCGUGGGGAGGAAGACUCCUGCAACUGGCAAUGGAACAUGUACAGUUACGCUACGAAGUGUUGAGACAGUUUGCAAUGACUUUCGUUCAAAUAAUGCAUAAUAUUAUUCGAAGGAAAGGGAUGUUUAGGAGUGAUUUUCUUAUAGAUACACAAAAUAUAAUAUUGAGAAAGAAAAUAAAUUCAAUAGAGUGGAAGGUUUUACCUUAUAACUAUAUAUUAGGCAGCUUUGCCGAAACAUUUUGAUACAGAUUUCGUUCAAGACAUUAAGAGUCAAAUGAGUUCUAUGUUAAGACUAAAUAUAUAUAUAUAUAUAUAUAUAUAUAUAUAUAUAUAUAUAUAUAUAUAUAUAUAUAUAUAUAUAUAUAUAUAUAUAUAUAUAUAUAUAUAUAACUGCACAAAUAUAUUGCUCUUUCUUUCAAUGUAGUGAUAGACCCUAUAGUAUAAAAUAAUAGGAAAACAUAAUUAGCUGCACUUCAUUUGAUGAAAUGCGAAAUAAAUACUACAUAAUGAACUCGCAUUUGAUGAUGACGUCAUCGGGAACGACAUUCAUGCAUGACUAUAUAAAUCUUGUGUGUGUAAAAUCAAAGAGAUUCUGAAAAAUAAAUCACAAAAUCAAUUAUCUAUAUUUCUGAUUAACGGUAAAAUCCAAGGAGAAGUAUCGACAAGUGGCCAGACAUAUAAUUCAAAACUGCACAAGACACACGACAGACGAUGCGAUAUAGCUUAUUGUCCGGGUAGAGGAGAGACGACGCUUGGCCAGCUCUGCAUUGCUAGCCUAGCACUUUCUUCCAUUCAUCACUCGAGUUAAUUAUAUACAUCUGAUCAAAAAUAUUAUUUAUAACUUGUAGGUAUGAAUAGUGAAGUGACCUCUACUCCGCUCCCGCGGACUGUAAAAGUGUAAAUGAAUGUGGCUACAUAGCCUAUCAUUCCAAUAUGUUUCUCUUUGCCACAUUCAAGGCGAGGCAUCAAGACUAGACCUGGUAGUUAGCAAGGAGCCGGAAGUAAUAGAAAAUCUUAUAGUAGAUUGUCCAAUAGCAAAGAGCGACCAUGCGGUUGUGGAAAUUGAAGUAAAAGAAAAGAGAACGAUUGACCGAAAAGAGGAUCACAAAAUUGUGAGAAGUAACUACUGUAAGGCAGACUUUGUUAGCAUGAGAACUUUUUUUGAAAAUGCAAAUUGGAGUGGGCUGUACAAAGCCAAGAGUACACAGGAUAAGUGGGAAGAGUUUUUAAAACAAUACAAGGAAGCCAAAAAUAGAUAUGUCCCUAAGGUAACCAAAAAGGAUGUUGGUAAAAGGAGUGGUUUAACAAAAGAUGCAAGGCAGCUAGAAAGAGAAAGGAGGAAGCUUGGAAGGGAUGGAGGAGACGAAGAAGAAUCAACUCGUGGAACGAUUUAAAAAAAGCAAGGAAUGAAUAUACAAAGAUUAGAAGAGAAGCAAAACGGAAAUAUGAAAAAGAUAUAAUCGACAAGUGCAAAGACCAACCCAAGCUAUUCUAUAGACAUGUGAACGGCAAAUUAAAGAAUAGAGAAACAAUCGAUAAACUGAAAAUGGAUGGAACUACAUAUGAGUACCCAGCAGAGAUAGCAGAAAUGAUGAACAACAGCUGCCAUAGCGUUUUCACAAAAGAAAACGAAUUUGCACAACCACCAUGCCAGGAAAGAGGAAGGGUUGUGCAGGAGAUACAGUUAACCCUUUCUUUGGUAAGCGCUCGCAACGAGACUAUCCCCUCAGGCGCGCUCGGGCACCCCAGCGGGGGAAGGGGAUUUCUUUUAACCGCUGUAUCUCAAAAACUAUUCAUCACAGCUAUAAAAUAAAAACACUAUUGGAAAGAGGAGGCCAAGAUCUAUAAGAUUCAGUUAUGUAAGCCUCUCCUGAGAACGUACAGGCACGUUCAGGAGAUGUUUUUUGCUCUGAGUGCGACUGGCGCUCGCCGCGAGCUUUUAGCACCACCAGCAAGUGACACUAGUGCUCGCUCUUUUAGCCUCUGUAUCUCAAAAACUAUUUAUCACAGCUAAAAAACAAAACUCCAUUGGAAAGAGGAGGCCAAGAUCUAUACGAUUCAGUAAUGUAAUCCUCUCCUGCAAAUGUACAGGCACAUUCAGGGGGUGUUGCCUGUGAAGACGUACAUUUAUACGUGCGUGACGGUCAGCCGCAAGGCAACUACUGAGUUAGAUCUCUUGAUGAUGGGGUGCUGGCAGGGCAGUAUUGCCAACUGCAAAAUAUACAACUAUUUGGUCAAAAUAUCAGUCAUGUGAUAGGUGAAGCUAUGCAAAAAUGUCGCUAUAUUGGUCAACAACAUCCACCAGUUGCUCGUCCAUAUAUUUUCCGCGCUGGGCUGAUAUGAUUUUCCACCAUAUUUAGUGUAGAACUCACUCAAUUGGCAAUCCUGUGUUGUGAGAAAUAGUGUUGGAACACUCUCAUACGUGUGAGAUUUGAGUGCAGCUGGAUUUCGCAGCGAGCGUUUAGCACCACCAGCAAAUAUGCAAUGAAAGGGUUAAUGGUGCAGGAGGUCAUGGAAAGCUUGAACAAGCUGGAUGUAAGAAAGGUGAUGGGGCCGGGUGGAGUAUCAGGGUGGAUCUUGAAAGAAUGUAGUGAGCAACUUGCAGAGAAACUGCACUCCAUAAUGAGUCCCUCCCUGAGUGAAGGAAGGGUACCACAAGACUGGAAGAGAGCAAACGUAUUACUAAUUUUUAAGGGAGGAAAGAGAGAGGAUGGUUGUGAAGAUAUGCGAGAGGCUGGUUAAAAAGAGGUGGUCGGAUUUCUUAGAAAGUGAGAAAAUGAUCUCGGAUUACCAGUUUGGAUUCAGGAGAGGGAGAUCUUGUGUCACCAACUUGUUGUGUUAUUACUCAAGGGUGACAGAUUUAAUACAAGAGAGAGAGAGAAGGCUGGGGUGAUGGAGUGUACCUGGAUUUAAGAGGCAUUGAAGCCUACAACUAACCAAUUUAAAUGUUCACUUAGAUUUAGGUAAAACGAUACCUUCACUACACCACUUCAUUUCACUAUUUAUGACUUAAUAUUAUAAUUUGAGAUGCAAAUACAUGUUCAUUAACAAUAUUAAGGCACGCAGGGUUAGAAAUAGAAACUAACCUAACCCGACAUAACCAAACUGAAGUUAACCUAAAGCAGUUUACCUGAGCUAACCUCUAUCUAGCUGAAACCUCCAAUACAUUAUAAACUAUAACCAUGGUUAUGUCAUAUUAGUUUUUUGGGGGAGGUUAGAUUGCCUUCUGUUAUGUCUGGCUAGGUCAAGCUAGUUUCCAAACCUGUUUGACUUCAUAAUACGUAUAGUUAAGGAGCAGGUAUUCUUAUCCCUAGGGUAAAGUGUGAAGACGUGAAUGAUAUAUAUAUAUAUAUAUAUAUAUAUAUAUAUAUAUAUAUAUAUAUAUAUAUAUAUAUAUAUAUAUAUAUAUAUAUAUAUAUAUAGGUUGUGUUUGGGACGAAAAUAGCCUAGUCAGGUCCUCGGCCAUGUGUAUUUUGGCAUAGUCUACUCUGAGCAAUGAGAGCCACACGCGACCUUAUUAUUUGUUCACAUAGGUCAACCCUGUCAUUAAACAGCUAAAAACUAACAUUAUGACAGGGAAAUGUACUCACCUGCUCCAAUAAUGGGAUGAAAAUAGCCAUAGUCUGGGCCUCAUCCAUGUGUAUUUUGGCAUAGUCUACUCUGAGCAAUGAGGGCCACACACGACCUUUUUACUUGUUCACAUAGGUCAACCCUGUCAUUAACCCUAGAAUGCUAAGGACGCGUUUACACCUAUUAAUGCCAAUUCAGGUGGAUUUUACCCGUUUUGGAAAAUUAAACAAAAAUAGUUUAAAUCAUUUUUUUUAUUUAUUCUCAAAACACAAAUAAGCUUUAACACUUUACCUUCUAGAUGACAUGAGGAAAAUUCCUUUUUUGGGUAAAAAUAAACAUGUAAUGGGUAAUUGAAAACAGUAACCAAAAACACUGUAAAUUUGCAUAUGCCUAAUAAAAAAAAAGUAAUGUAUUUUCUGAUAUUGAGAGAAAACAGUUCAGCUACUGCAGACUUGCACUUGAGUCCUGAGAGCUCUACUCCCAAUCAAGUAUAGAGAGGUAUUGUCACUCAUAGAACGUGAAGAACCAAAUUUUGGAAUGAGCUUUUUUAUUAGGACCUCUCGGAGGUUUUUUAUGUUAUAAACUACUACAAUAAAAUAAAAUAAGA
Eriocheir sinensis (Chinese mitten crab) is the source of this 7630-nucleotide long non-coding RNA. RefSeq lists it as uncharacterized. The transcript has 2 exons. The record is from RefSeq and is a predicted model, not a curated record. NCBI's taxonomy places the organism in Eukaryota, Metazoa, Arthropoda, Malacostraca, Decapoda, Varunidae.